Molecule: ribosomal RNA, 347 nt
Filed under: Epiperipatus sp. 3 CSC-2019
Lineage: Eukaryota; Metazoa; Onychophora; Udeonychophora; Euonychophora; Peripatidae
Description: partial large subunit ribosomal RNA
Rfam family: Bacterial large subunit ribosomal RNA (bases 222-347)
Source: RNAcentral
AGACUAGAAUGAAUGGAUUAAUGAAGCAUUACUUUCUUAGGUUAAAUUUUAAAAAUAAUUUUUUAAGUGAAGAGACUUAAAUAUUUAUGAAAGACGAGAAGACCCUAUUAAGCUUGUAUAAGAUUAUUUUGUUGGGGAAACAAAAGAAGAAAAUUUCUUUAUGUUUUGGUUUUGAUAAAAGGUGAUUUAUUAUUAAUAAUAAUAGAAUAAGUUACUAUAGGGAUAACAGCAUAAUUUUUUUUAAAAGUUCAUAUUUACAAAAAAGAUUAUGACCUCGAUGUUGGAUUAUAAUAAUUAUAUGGUGAAGUUGUUGUAUAAAUUAGUCUGUUCGACUAUUAAAGUUUUAC